UGGGAGGCAGCAGUGGGGAAUUUUGGACAAUGGGCGCAAGCCUGAUCCAGCCAUUCCGCGUGCAGGAUGAAGGCCUUCGGGUUGUAAACUGCUUUUGUACGGAACGAAAAGGCUCUCUCUAAUACAGGGGGCUCAUGACGGUACCGUAAGAAUAAGCACCGGCUAACUACGUGCCAGCAGCCGCGGUAAUACGUAGGGUGCGAGCGUUAAUCGGAAUUACUGGGCGUAAAGCGUGCGCAGGCGGUGAUGUAAGACAGGUGUGAAAUCCCCGGGCUCAACCUGGGAACUGCAUUUGUGACUGCAUCGCUGGAGUGCGGCAGAGGGGGAUGGAAUUCCGCGUGUAGCAGUGAAAUGCGUAGAUAUGCGGAGGAACACCGAUGGCGAAGGCAAUCCCCUGGGCCUGCACUGACGCUCAUGCACGAAAGCGUGGGGAGCAAACAGGAUUAGAUACCCGUGUAGUCCU
RNAcentral lists this ribosomal RNA (463 nucleotides) under uncultured bacterium. RNAcentral's name for it is "bacterial SSU rRNA". It matches the Rfam family "Bacterial small subunit ribosomal RNA", at positions 342 to 797 of the family's 1533-position model. The record is from RNAcentral.